UCCCCGCAAGGGGGGAAGCGGCGAAAGGGGCAGUAAUGCGUGGGUAACCUACCCCGGGGACUGGUAUAGCCCUUCGAGAGAAGGGGUAAUCCCGGGCGAUGUGUCGAGGGGGCAUCCUCUUGCCACCAAAUGAGUUUCGCCCCGGGAGGGGCCCACGUGAUAUUAGCUAGUUGGUAGGGUAACGGCCUACCAAGGCGAAGAUGUCUAGCGGGUGUGAGAGCACGACCCGCGCCACUGGCACUGAGACACUGGCCAGACACCUACGGGUGGCUGCAGUCGAGGAUCUUCGGCAAUGGGCGCAAGCCUGACCGAGCGACGCCGCGUGGGCGAUGAAGGCCUUCGGGUUGUAAAGCCCUGUCGAGGGGGAGAAAAUUUGAUCUAUCCCUGGAGGAAGCACGGGCUAAGUUCGUGCCAGCAGCCGCGGUAAGACGAACCGUGCGAACGUUGUUCGGAAUCACUGGGCUUAAAGGGCGCGUAGGCGGGCCGCCAAGUCCGCGGUGAAAUCCCCCGGCUCAACCGGGGAACUGCCGCGGAUACUGGAGGUCUCGUGGGAGGUAGGGGCAUGCGGAACUGCGGGUGGAGCGGUGAAAUGCGUUGAUAUCCGCAGGAACUCCGGUGGCGAAGGCGGCGUGCUGGACCUUUUCUGACGCUGAGGCGCGAAAGCCAGGGGAGCGAACGGGAUUAGAUACCCCGGUAGUCCUGGCCCUAAACGAUGGGAACUAGGUUGUAGGCUAGACAUGGGCUUACAGCCGAAGCAAAAGUGCUAAG
Molecule: ribosomal RNA, 768 nt
Filed under: uncultured Planctomycetota bacterium
Lineage: Bacteria; Pseudomonadati; Planctomycetota
Description: bacterial SSU rRNA
Rfam family: Bacterial small subunit ribosomal RNA
Source: RNAcentral